Girardinichthys multiradiatus is the source of this 2007-nucleotide long non-coding RNA. RefSeq lists it as uncharacterized. NCBI's taxonomy places the organism in Eukaryota, Metazoa, Chordata, Actinopteri, Cyprinodontiformes, Goodeidae. The transcript has 3 exons. The record is from RefSeq and is a predicted model, not a curated record.
GAUGUAGACCAGGACUGUGUUGGUGUUAGCUGCACUGUGGUUGCUGCUGCAUUCUCAGUGGGCAGAAGAAUGGAUGCCACAGUGCUUCUUCCAGAGUGAUCCGUCUGCUGACAUCAUACUCCAGCAUACAGACUAAGCCCAGCUGAAAAGAACUAUGAUGUGGGAGAUCGAAAGCUUUUGGCGAUUUAACUGGCCUUAGAAGAAUGGCGUCACUGGCUGGAAGGCGCGGAACACCCAGUAGUGACUCGGAUCAAAGAACUUAAAACCAGAUGCCCUCUCUCGACAAUUUUCCUCUGUUGAUUCAGAAAGAGAGCCCGCUCCUAUCUUACCCCCUAGUUGCACAGUAGGAGCUCUCACAUGGGAGGUUGAGGAUUUGGUGUCUCGAGCCCUAGAGAAUGAACCUGACCCUGGAACUGGACCCCCGAACCGAACCUACGUUCCCUCCGCUGUAAGAUUGCGCCUGAUUCACUGGUUCCACUCAGCAAGAUUCUCCGCUCACCCUGGUCCCAACUGAACCAUUGCUCUCAUCUCCAGAAGAUAUUGGUGGCCUUCAUUACAUAGGGAUGUACGAGAGUAUGUACAAGCCUGCACGAUCUGUGCAAGAAACAAAUCUACUAACCAGCCUCCAGCCGGCCUGCUACAGCCCCUUAGCAUCCCCAAACGUCCCUGGUCACACAUCACUCUCGACUUCGUCACUGCACUGCCUAACUCUAGGAAUGACCACCAUACUCACCAUCAUUGAUCGUUUCUCCAAGACCCGUCACCUUAUCCCCCUCAGAAGACAGCAUUAAGUUCUCCAGACUGCUCAACUUAUGGUCAAACAUGUGUUCCGACUACAUGGGAUACCACAGGAGAUCCUCUCCAAUCGGGGGCCACAAUUCACCGCACAGGUUUGGCGACAAUUCUGUUCUGCCUUAGGGGCUAAGGUUUCUCUAACCUCUGGAUAUCAUCCACAGUCUAAUGGUCAAACUGAAAGAAUGAACCAAGAGCUUGAAUCAGCUUUGAGAUGUCUCGUCUCAACCAACCCCACUGAUUUGAGCCAGUUUCUUCCCUGGAUUGAGUAUGCCCAUAGCACACAUCUGCAGCCACUGGAGUUUCCCUGUUCGAGGCUUCCUUAGGCUAUCAACCCCCUGUGUUUUCAGCAGACGAACAGGAAAUAUCUGUCACCUCCAUUUGCCACCACAUCCGUAGAUGCCGACACAUUUGGGACGCUACCAGACAAGCCCUCUAACGCACUGCCACUCAAAAUAAGAGGUUCGCAGACAGAAGGUGUAUCCUGGCUCCUCAGUAAUAGCCUGAACAAAAGGUUUGGGUCUCUUCAUGAGAUAUUCCCUUAAAAUCCGUCUCCAGGAAGCUCGCUCCCAGAUUUGUUGGCCCCUACAAGAUUCAGAGAGUGAUCAGUUCUACAGCUAUUCAGUAUAAGCUGCCAUCUAAUCUCUGCAUCCACCCCACGUUCAACGUUUCCCAGAUCAAACCUUAUAUCACGAGUGCUUCGUGGCUCAUCCUGGCUCAUCCUCCUCAAGAUGAUUAUCUUCGCAUGUCACUUCCAGUUGGCUGUCGCUGGUUAAUAGCUCCCUUGGCUCUCCUAUGAACGAACCUUGCUCACCGUCCAAUGUGCUCCCCUCCAAGAACAUCUACCAGGUGCCAAAAACCAUCACCAAUCAAAGAAAGACAACUUACCCGGAUCAAACUCAGACCCAUCAAGGCAGACCUACAAUAAGAAAAAGAAAAUGGUUAGUUCCAUCCGCGAAAAUAUAAGAUCACAUACUUCCAGACUAGACCCUAUCUCCUGCCUAGAACUCCUGAACCCAGCUGUGACUCCCCCCCGGACCAUCAUCUCCUACCUUCCCGUAAGCAGAAGAAUAAUUUAUUAUCUUCUGAAAUAUUCACAUUCCGGAACAAUCAACUCACCGUUACUCCCCUCCUUCCACACAGUGGCUAGUUCCUGGUUCCUGCAGUUUUCUGGUUCUACGUUUCACAUUCUUUCAAUAAACUUGUUAAAUUUUC